GAUAAGGAGCUUGCUCCUUUGACGUUAGCGGCGGACGGGUGAGUAACACGUGGGUAACCUACCUAUAAGACUGGAAUAACUCCGGGAAACCGGGGCUAAUGCCGGAUAACAUUUAGAACCGCAUGGUUCUAAAGUGAAAGAUGGUUUUGCUAUCACUUAUAGAUGGACCCGCGCCGUAUUAGCUAGUUGGUAAGGUAACGGCUUACCAAGGCAACGAUACGUAGCCGACCUGAGAGGGUGAUCGGCCACACUGGAACUGAGACACGGUCCAGACUCCUACGGGAGGCAGCAGUAGGGAAUCUUCCGCAAUGGGCGAAAGCCUGACGGAGCAACGCCGCGUGAGUGAUGAAGGUCUUCGGAUCGUAAAACUCUGUUAUUAGGGAAGAACAAAUGUGUAAGUAACUGUGCACGUCUUGACGGUACCUAAUCAGAAAGCCACGGCUAACUACGUGCCAGCAGCCGCGGUAAUACGUAGGUGGCAAGCGUUAUCCGGAAUUAUUGGGCGUAAAGCGCGCGUAGGCGGUUUCUUAAGUCUGAUGUGAAAGCCCACGGCUCAACCGUGGAGGGUCAUUGGAAACUGGGAAACUUGAGUGCAGAA
Molecule: ribosomal RNA, 598 nt
Filed under: Staphylococcus cohnii
Lineage: Bacteria; Bacillati; Bacillota; Bacilli; Caryophanales; Staphylococcaceae
Description: bacterial SSU rRNA
Rfam family: Bacterial small subunit ribosomal RNA
Source: RNAcentral